AGGAUAAUAGUUAAAUAUAACAUUUAAUUUGCACUUAGAAAGUAUUGAUUUUUUUCAAUUUAUCUUA
This 67-nucleotide transfer RNA is filed under the name Toxeutes arcuatus. RNAcentral's name for it is "tRNA-Ala". It matches the Rfam family "tRNA". Rfam says of the family: Transfer RNA (tRNA) molecules are approximately 80 nucleotides in length. Their secondary structure includes four short double-helical elements and three loops (D, anti-codon, and T loops). Lineage: Eukaryota; Metazoa; Arthropoda; Insecta; Coleoptera; Cerambycidae. The record is from RNAcentral.